RNAcentral lists this ribosomal RNA (425 nucleotides) under uncultured bacterium. Its description in RNAcentral is "bacterial SSU rRNA". It matches the Rfam family "Bacterial small subunit ribosomal RNA", at positions 355 to 776 of the family's 1533-position model. The record is from RNAcentral.
UAAGGAAUAUUGGACAAUGGGCGGAAGCCUGAUCCAGCCAUGCCGCGUGAAGGAAGAAGGCGCUCAGCGUUGUAAACUUCUUUUGGACGGGAACAAAGGCAUCUCUGCGGAGGUGUUUGAGGGUACUGUCAGAAUAAGCACCGGCUAACUCCGUGCCAGCAGCCGCGGUAAUACGGAGGGUGCAAGCGUUAUCCGGAAUCACUGGGUUUAAAGGGUGCGUAGGCGGUUUGUUAAGUCAGUUGUGAAAUUCCCUCGCUUAACGAGUGGGACUGCGAUUGAUACUGAUGAACUUGAAUCAGGUUGAGGUGAGCGGAAUGUGGCAUGUAGCGGUGAAAUGCAUAGAUAUGCCAUAGAACACCGAUUGCGAAGGCAGCUUGCUGGGCCUUGAUUGACGCUGAGGCACGAAAGCGUGGGGAGCAAACAGG